CUGCAUCAUAUUUUCCUUCUUUAAAUGAAAUCUGAACUCUCUUGCAAUAAUUUUCUUUCCUAUCUAAUCAUUACCUUUUGCACAAAUGCAUCAUGUAUGAAAAAUUUCAUUAAUGAUGCUGUCAUGACAGUUCAAAUGGAGACUCACAGCAACCUAGAGUAGUUUUGCCAAUAGCACAGAAAUAAGUAGUCAUUCCAUUUAUUAUGGAGCACAGCCAACAAAUCUUUUCAACUUGACCCUAAUUUAAUGUAAACCACUAUAUCUAGGUCAGAGCAGACGGCAGGGGGUAAACGGGAACAGCCCCAGCCCUGGGUGUGGGACACCUCCCUGGGGACGGCAACAGGCCAGACUGGGACAUCAGCCUGCGAGUGGAAGUGGUUUGGUGGGACCCAUGCCAAGGGACACAGCUGCGGGGGGGCGGUGAGGAACUGCAGCUCAGCCAGGGCCAAGGCAAGAGCCUCUGCUGGAAGCAGCUCCCCACAUCAGGGUUUCCCCCCACUGUGCCUGGGAGCCUCCUCUCAAGGUCACUAUGGAGAAGGAGCCACCCUUGGCUAGUGGCUUUGAGCUGGCCCCAAGUCCAGCAGCCCAAGCUUUGAGACCUCCUGCAGAUGCUCCAUAACCCUUAUAGCAGAGCUCACCAUCAGGCUUUCCCAAACAACUACCUCACAAAGGCUGCAUUGUUACUUUUCCAUGGCAGGACAACAACAGACAAGAGAUGACAGUCACAUGCACCCAUCAGUUUGGCUGAGCACAAUUUUCCAGGCAUUGAUGGCUCAGUGGCCAUAUCAGAACGUGCACUACCAUUUUUAUGAAAAAGAAAAGUCAACUUGGCUCAAAACCAAAAAUGUAAGGAGUUACAUAGGAACAGUGAAAUGUCUGGGCACAUGCCAAAGUGGUACUACUUGGCAGCAGGAACUAUCAUAUAUAAAUGGGAUUUUAAAAAUGCCUAAAGAAAAGCUGCUGUGGCCCAGGCUCCUGUGGGCUAAAUGCCCAUAGUUUUCCAAGCAGUAAAAUUUUACUGUUAUCAGCUGUGAUAAAGCAAUGUUACAGAAAUAGUGGAUUUCCCAUUAUUAUCAGACUGAAAUGGAUUAGGUGUUGGUAUUACAAGUAUCACUCUGACAGGAGCCUCAUGGCUGCUGGCACCAUGCCAACACAGCAAGAUUUUAUUGGCUCCCCAGGAGCAAGUACUCCCAGGACCAUUGCAUGGCAAAACCAAGCAUUCUCAAACAGGACUUGAGCAAUUCUUUUCCUUGCAUUUCAUUUGUUUGACCAGCCAUCUAUUUUUGCUUCUCGAAGAUAACAGCAUAUUCAAAAUGCUUCAAUGGAAGGUGUAAGAGCUGCAUGCCUGGCUCACCCUAACUUUGCUGGGAAAUGCACCUCAUUGCUUACUCAUGAAGCAGACCACAGACUAGGAAACUCCUGGUUAGAAAAGUAACAAGGUUUAACACAAAGGAACUUCCAUUACAGAGUAAAACAGCAGCAGACAAAAAUGAUGUAUCAUUAAAACACUUUCCUUGUCCUCACUCACCUCUUUGUGGGAUGCUGCUCCUGGUAGGUAAAAAGCUACCAUCAGUCUCGUGCCUCAAAGCCGCAGGUGGUUGCUAGGUGAAAAUGCAGUUUUCAGAUGUUACUAUUCCACAGGCUGCAAAUGAUCUCUGCACAAGAGCUGCUCAUUAAGUGGUACUCCAUGAAGUUUCAGAGUGUCUGUUAUGAUGGAAGUCCUCCUCUCUUGAUCUUUCUCCAAUUCAGGCUUCUGAAUUCUUAUGAAGACUUAGGAGGAGAUUUUAAGUGCUGCUGUGCAUGAAACUGCUUCUGGUAUUGUUUGGCUUAUAACAACCAGUUGCCACAAGUGUAUGCAGGAGAUGGAGAAUUAAUCAGCAGAGACAGCAGGUGUUUUGAGCCCCUAUUAUUUUCUGUGGUCCCUGCAGGGACCAUCAGAAUACAUGGCUAUUUUAUGCCAAGAUCCAGUGAAUGAUAGCAUCUAACAGAUGCUUCAUUCUUUGAGAACCUUAGCUGUAACAGACCAGAAGCAUCUGGCAUUCACUUUUGAACAGCAGAUCAGAAAGUAGGAAACUCAAAGAACCCACCCAGCUCAUAUGCCCAGUAAUUCCUAAUCAAGAACAAAGUGCAUCUUCUGAGCACAUUGUGUGGAAUGCAUUAGCAUGCACCUCAGUGACAUCCUAUUUAAAAAAAUCAUCAAGAAAGGAAGUUGUGAACCACAUCUGGCUCACAGUAACACAUUAUCAAAAUUCAACAUUUGGUGAGUCUUUAAUGCAACAAAAACUAUUACUGAAAGGGAAAAUCUUGUUCUAAAAUAAUCAGGGAGCAUGUGAGCCUCACACAUCCUACUGGAACUCUGUUAACUCAAACUUCCCUGUCCAACUCAAAGAUAUAUAUGCUUGAUGACCAUCAGUCUGACUUUAGCUUUUAAAAUCAAGCUGAGAAAUGCAACUCCAUUUAAGAACCAAAAUCCUGUCCUUCAGAACAAAGCAGACAUGUCUGGUAAAAUCCAAGAAGCUCUUAAAGAAUAAUUUGGUGGCAGCAGUACAGUCAGAUCAGCUCUGUGGUAACUCCAGGUUCAGAAAAUGGGAGAAAGACUAGCAUCUGUGAUCUGACUAGCUUCCAAGAGAAACUGUAUCAGAAGCUAGUAUUACAUAAAAUGUACCUACAAUACUAGUUUCAUACAGAUCCCUUUAUCAAAAAUAAUAUUUUCAGUACUGAUUAUACAUCUGGAAAUACAUCUGGGGAAAAUAAGACCAUUACUGUGUAAAAAAACAAAUUCACAAGCUUUAUUUGUCACAACACAUUUCAUGUACAUGCAGAAUGUACUCACAUUUCUCUUUUAAGGCAAAUAGGAAUUGGGUUCUUAUACCUGAGUUGCUUAGCACAAGCAGGAACAGCAAAUAAAAACUUAGGAAGUGCCGUCUCUCCCUUUAGA
Molecule: long non-coding RNA, 2938 nt
Organism: Cyanistes caeruleus (blue tit)
Lineage: Eukaryota; Metazoa; Chordata; Aves; Passeriformes; Paridae
Source: Ensembl